This 439-nucleotide ribosomal RNA is filed under the name uncultured bacterium. Its description in RNAcentral is "partial 16S ribosomal RNA". It matches the Rfam family "Bacterial small subunit ribosomal RNA", at positions 339 to 795 of the family's 1533-position model. The record is from RNAcentral.
CUACGGGGGGCAGCAGUGAGGAAUAUUGCACAAUGGGGGGAACCCUGAUGCAGCAACGCCGCGUGGAGGAUGACGCAUUUCGGUGUGUAAACUCCUUUUAUAUGUCAAGAAAAUGACGGUAGCAUAUGAAUAAGCACCGGCUAACUCCGUGCCAGCAGCCGCGGUAAUACGGAGGGUGCAAGCGUUACUCGGAAUCACUGGGCGUAAAGGACGCGUAGGCGGGUUGGAAAGUCAGGUGUGAAAUCCUACAGCUUAACUGUAGAACUGCACUUGAAACUUCUAAUCUAGAGUAUGGGAGGGGGAGAUGGAAUUAGUGGCGUAGGGGUAACAUCCGUAGAUAUCACUAGGAAUACCUAAAGCGAAGGCGAUCUCCUGGAACAUUACUGACGCUAAGGCGUGAAAGCGUGGGGAGCAAACAGGAUUAGAUACCCCGGUAGUC